RNAcentral lists this ribosomal RNA (543 nucleotides) under Pseudomonas sp. RNAcentral describes it as "bacterial SSU rRNA". It matches the Rfam family "Bacterial small subunit ribosomal RNA", at positions 46 to 582 of the family's 1533-position model. The record is from RNAcentral. Lineage: Bacteria; Pseudomonadati; Pseudomonadota; Gammaproteobacteria; Pseudomonadales; Pseudomonadaceae.
GCCUAACACAUGCAAGUCGAGCGGAUGAGUGGAGCUUGCUCCAUGAUUCAGCGGCGGACGGGUGAGUAAUGCCUAGGAAUCUGCCUGGUAGUGGGGGACAACGUUUCGAAAGGAACGCUAAUACCGCAUACGUCCUACGGGAGAAAGCAGGGGACCUUCGGGCCUUGCGCUAUCAGAUGAGCCUAGGUCGGAUUAGCUAGUUGGUGAGGUAAUGGCUCACCAAGGCGACGAUCCGUAACUGGUCUGAGAGGAUGAUCAGUCACACUGGAACUGAGACACGGUCCAGACUCCUACGGGAGGCAGCAGUGGGGAAUAUUGGACAAUGGGCGAAAGCCUGAUCCAGCCAUGCCGCGUGUGUGAAGAAGGUCUUCGGAUUGUAAAGCACUUUAAGUUGGGAGGAAGGGCAUUAACCUAAUAUGUUAGUGUUUUGACGUUACCGACAGACUGAGCACCGGCUAACUUCGUGCGAGCUGCCGCGGUAAUACGCAGGGGUGCGAGCGUUUAUCGGAACUUACUGGGCGUACAGUGCGCGUAGGUGGUUUG